Armillaria fumosa is the source of this 94-nucleotide non-coding RNA. The record is from the annotation of a GenBank genome assembly. NCBI's taxonomy places the organism in Eukaryota, Fungi, Basidiomycota, Agaricomycetes, Agaricales, Physalacriaceae.
GCCUUCUUAGCUCAGUGGUAGAGCGUGUCACUCGUAUUUGAUUGUUGAUUAAAAGUAUAUGACAAGGUCAGUCGUUCAAGUCGGCUAGGAGGCA